RNAcentral lists this ribosomal RNA (253 nucleotides) under uncultured bacterium. Its description in RNAcentral is "partial 16S ribosomal RNA". It matches the Rfam family "Bacterial small subunit ribosomal RNA", at positions 524 to 776 of the family's 1533-position model. The record is from RNAcentral.
UACGAAGGGGGCUAGCGUUGCUCGGAAUCACUGGGCGUAAAGCGCACGUAGGCGGGUCGUUAAGUCGGGGGUGAAAUCCUGGAGCUCAACUCCAGAACUGCCUUCGAUACUGGCGAUCUUGAAUCUGGGAGAGGUGAGUGGAACUCCGAGUGUAGAGGUGAAAUUCGUAGAUAUUCGGAAGAACACCAGUGGCGAAGGCGGCUCACUGGCCCGGUACUGACGCUGAGGUGCGAAAGCGUGGGGAGCAAACAGG